RNAcentral lists this microRNA precursor (82 nucleotides) under Cebus imitator (Panamanian white-faced capuchin). Its description in RNAcentral is "miRNA (ENSCCAG00000010721.1)". The record is from RNAcentral. Lineage: Eukaryota; Metazoa; Chordata; Mammalia; Primates; Cebidae.
UUAGGAUGGUGCAAAAGUAAUUGUGGUUUUUGCCAUUUAAAAGUAAAGGCCAAAACCGCAAUUACUUUUUCACCAACCUAAU